GAUGAACGCUGGCGGCGUGCCUAAUACAUGCAAGUCGAGCGAACAGAUGAGGAGCUUGCUCCUCUGACGUUAGCGGCGGACGGGUGAGUAACACGUGGAUAACCUACCUAUAAGACUGGGAUAACUUCGGGAAACCGGAGCUAAUACCGGAUAAUAUAUUGAACCGCAUGGUUCAAUAGUGAAAGACGGUUUUGCUGUCACUUAUAGAUGGAUCCGCGCCGCAUUAGCUAGUUGGUAAGGUAACGGCUUACCAAGGCAACGAUGCGUAGCCGACCUGAGAAGGUGAUCGGCCACACUGGAACUGAGACACGGUCCAGACUCCUACGGGAGGCAGCAGUAGGGAAUCUUCCGCAAUGGGCGAAAGCCUGACGGAGCAACGCCGCGUGAGUGAUGAAGGUCUUCGGAUCGUAAAACUCUGUUUUUAGGGAAGAACAAAUGUGUAAGUAACUAUGCACGUCUUGACGGUACCUAAUCAGAAAGCCACGGCUAACUACGUG
RNAcentral lists this ribosomal RNA (497 nucleotides) under uncultured bacterium. RNAcentral describes it as "partial 16S ribosomal RNA". It matches the Rfam family "Bacterial small subunit ribosomal RNA", at positions 28 to 507 of the family's 1533-position model. The record is from RNAcentral.